This 446-nucleotide ribosomal RNA is filed under the name uncultured bacterium. RNAcentral describes it as "partial 16S ribosomal RNA". It matches the Rfam family "Bacterial small subunit ribosomal RNA", at positions 338 to 795 of the family's 1533-position model. The record is from RNAcentral.
CCUACGGGUGGCUGCAGUCGAGAAUCAUUCACAAUGGGGGAAACCCUGAUGGUGCGACGCCGCGUGGGGGAAUGAAGGUCUUCGGAUUGUAAACCCCUGUCAUGUGGGAGCAAAUUAAAAAGAUAGUACCACAAGAGGAAGAGACGGCUAACUCUGUGCCAGCAGCCGCGGUAAUACAGAGGUCUCAAGCGUUGUUCGGAAUCACUGGGCGUAAAGCGUUCGUAGGCUGUUUCGUAAGUCGUGUGUGAAAGGCGCGGGCUCAACCCGCGGAUGGCACAUGAUACUGCGAGACUAGAGUAAGGGAGGGGGAAACGGAAUUCUCGGUGUAGCAGUGAAAUGCGUAGAUAUCGAGAGGAACACUCGUGGCGAAGGCGGGUUCCUGGACAUUAACUGACGCUGAGGCACGAAGGCCAGGGGAGCGAAAGGGAUUAGAUACCCGUGUAGUC